This 483-nucleotide ribosomal RNA is filed under the name uncultured bacterium. Its description in RNAcentral is "partial 16S ribosomal RNA". It matches the Rfam family "Bacterial small subunit ribosomal RNA", at positions 899 to 1397 of the family's 1533-position model. The record is from RNAcentral.
ACUCAAAUGAAUUGACGGGGACUUGCACAAGCGGUGGAUGAUGUGGUUUAAUUCGACGAUUCACGAAGAACCUUACCAGGGUUAGAAAUCAAGACGAAGAUAUCCAGAAACGGGUAUCGCCUUCGGGCGGCUUGACAGGUGAUGCAUGGUUGUUGUCAGUUCGUGGUUUGAAUUGUUCCCUUAAGUGGGGUAACGAACGAAACCCUCGUUGUGUGUUAUAUUUGUCACACGAGACUGCUCCUUUAUAGGAGAGGAAGGAGAGGAUGACACCAAAUCAGCAUGUCCCUUGAUACCCUGGGCUACACACGUCAUACAAUGGCACUUACAAUGGGUUGCAAUACCGCAAGGUGGAGCCAAUCCUCAAAAAGUGCCCCAGUUCAGAUUGGGGUCUGCAACUCGACCCCAUGAAGCCGGAAUCGCUAGUAAUCACAGGUCAGCUAUACUGUGGUGAAUACGUUCUCAAGUCUUGUACACACCGCCCGU